CUAAUACCGGAUAAUAUAUUGAACCGCAUGGUUCAAUAGUGAAAGACGAGUUUGCUGUCACUUAUAGAUGGAUCCGCGCCGCAUUAGCUAGUUGGUAAGGUAACGGCUUACCAAGGCAACGAUGCGUAGCCGACCUGAGAGGGUGAUCGGCCACACUGGAACUGAGACACGGUCCAGACUCCUACGGGAGGCAGCAGUAGGGAAUCUUCCGCAAUGGGCGAAAGCCUGACGGAGCAACGCCGCGUGAGUGAUGAAGGUCUUCGGAUCGUAAAACUCUGUUAUUAGGGAAGAACAAAUGUGUAAGUAACUAUGCACGUCUUGACGGUACCUAAUCAAAAAGCCACGGCUAACUACGUGCCAGCAGCCGCGGUAAUACUAGGUGGCAAGCGUUAUCCGGAAUUAUUGGGCGUAAAUGCGCGCGUAGGCGGUUUGUUUAAGUCUGAUGUGAAAGCCCACGGCUCAACCGUGGAGGGAUCAUUGGACCGUGGAGGGUCAUUGGAAAC
RNAcentral lists this ribosomal RNA (503 nucleotides) under Staphylococcus epidermidis. RNAcentral describes it as "bacterial SSU rRNA". It matches the Rfam family "Bacterial small subunit ribosomal RNA", at positions 163 to 650 of the family's 1533-position model. Lineage: Bacteria; Bacillati; Bacillota; Bacilli; Caryophanales; Staphylococcaceae. The record is from RNAcentral.